Cavia aperea (Brazilian guinea pig) is the source of this 127-nucleotide small nucleolar RNA. The record is from Ensembl. Lineage: Eukaryota; Metazoa; Chordata; Mammalia; Rodentia; Caviidae.
CUGGCAGCCAGCCGUUUUUUGAAGUUGUUAGUUUCAAGCAAGAGCCUAAAGUGAUAUCUUUUUAUGGUCUGUUGGCCAUUUCAGAACUUUAGAAAUGUAAUGGUCAGCCAGGCGUGGUGGCUCACGC